This is a non-coding RNA of Acanthosepion pharaonis, 114 nucleotides long. The record is from the annotation of a GenBank genome assembly. NCBI's taxonomy places the organism in Eukaryota, Metazoa, Mollusca, Cephalopoda, Sepiida, Sepiidae.
UUACGGUCGCACCACGUUGAAACACCGGUUCCCGUAAGAUCACUGGAGUUAAGCAAAAUUGAACCCGGUCAGUACCAAGACGGGUGACCGCUUGUGAAUACUAAAUGCUGUAAG